RNAcentral lists this microRNA precursor (63 nucleotides) under Chlorocebus sabaeus (green monkey). RNAcentral describes it as "miRNA (ENSCSAG00000024847.1)". Lineage: Eukaryota; Metazoa; Chordata; Mammalia; Primates; Cercopithecidae. The record is from RNAcentral.
GGUGGGGCGGGGCGGCAGGGGCCUCUGCCAGUGCCAGGUCCCCAUUCUGUUUCUCUCCCAGCU